This is a long non-coding RNA of Venturia canescens, 1519 nucleotides long. RefSeq lists it as uncharacterized. Lineage: Eukaryota; Metazoa; Arthropoda; Insecta; Hymenoptera; Ichneumonidae. The record is from RefSeq and is a predicted model, not a curated record. The transcript has 2 exons.
AAGUUGCGAAACGUCUUCGGCAUGGAGAGCGAUUGACAAUUGAAGGAAAUCGUGCACGAGCUGCGCGUACACCGACGAAAGAAGAAACUGCGGUGAAUGCAUCAUAAAAAUCUUCGGUGGAGCAAACAAUUCGAGAAAUUUAAGUGAAUUUUUUUAUUUCUCGAGCUGCCACGUGGAUAGGAAACGAGUAAAUAAAUUUAACAUAAAAGCGGCAAUAAAAAUGUUGAUAUCCAAAGAGUUGAGAACGCCGAAAAAUGCUGGAUAAGCAGAGAUAAAAAGUGUGGAUUAUACUCGGGGGUAAUUAUACGGGCGCUGGCACAGUCUCAACAAGCAAAGGCUCCAAUUCCGUAACGUUCCAGCAGCCGCGUGUUCCGGAUCGAACCAAUUAGCGAUGGUUCACGCUUAAACGCUAAUCGGCCAAUUAGUUUCAGGAGAAUAUAUUCGCGGGCGGUCGUGACGAGGAAUUUUGUAACCGCGAGAGCGCUUCUCUUGGAAAAUCAUUUGCGACUCCUCGAGGAGACUUCGAGUGUCCCAACCUCGUUCGUCACGAUUUUCACGUGCAUCCCUCCGCUAUUUCGCUUUCCUCUUUGCUCGCGCCUCCCUGUCCGCAACGUUUUAUCAAUCCUUCACUCAGGCACAUUCAUUUUCAGGGGGCGAUGCGGAGCUCGCAGUUCCUCAAGAAUCGCACCUCAAUGCCCCAAAUUGGCCCUUAACUCUCAUUCAUAUUCGCCAAUCCUCGAACCUUUGGGAGCAUGAAAUUCUUGAGAACGACCGCAGCCUUCGGCUCUCAGAAAAUCGCGGUUUCAAGAGCUCCUUCGUACAAACAAUUUUCUCGAACCUUCGACAUUGUUAUUUUGUUUAAAAAAGCCAAGAAGGAGCCUCUAAAAAAUGCCUCGCUUGAAGCUUUCUCCAGCUUGUGAAGACACCCGAAGGUAAAUUGAGCGAAGGAUUUCGCCUCAACGCGUGCGAAUAUAUAUGCAGAGAAACCAACGUGUGUGUAAAAACCAUAAACUCUCGUCCGCGCAUUCGUACUGUUUACGCUCGUUGCAUCGUCGCGUGCUUCCUCUUCAUGGACACGAAUAUAUUUCCCCCUCGGUAUUUUAUAAUCCUCAAACUUGCAUUAAUUCCUCGACGUGGGUGUCGCGCUUAUAAUACCCCGGCUACAAAUAUGCCGAGUGUAUUCAUCCGGUACUCGUGUGCGCGUGUAGAUAAACAUGAGGUAAACACACUCGCCAGGGGAAAGAACGAGAGAUCAACAUCCGGUUUAUCGUUAGAGUCGGCUUAGGGUGGGUUUAAAGCGUCGAUUAAGGGACUCUGCGGUCACCUCGUUUUAACGAUAUUUAACGUGUUCAGUUUCUCCGAUAAUGAGAGCUGUACAUAUUGGCUUAGCAAAUCCGAAUGAAACAAUGUGUAACGAAGCUUUUUACGGGCCGUCGUUUCGCCCCGCGACGGACCCGCCAACAAUUGUUCAUUUUCUUUUAGCUUCUUUUGAAAUAAACGAAAGAAAUAAGAACGCAAA